ACCAGAGAAAAUUUUUGGAAUGUUUAUUGUUUCGCGACCAAUCAGAUGCGAGAUGAAACUGCAAAAGAUAACCGCCAAACCACAACAUGGAUUAGUCACGACUUGAUACGAAACAACGAGCUGGCUUUUUCCUCCACGACUAAUCUUCAAAAACCAAACUACUGAAUUCAGAAUAGACCUAGAACCAAGGGUAAAUUGUCAAAAUUUACAAUGAUACAAGUUUUCCUCCUUUGUCGGGUGAAGGCUUCUCAGCUACAAAAAAAUAUGGAUCGAAAAUCACCAAUCACAGCCAACUAGCAUGACCUUUUGAACUGCACAUAAACCAAACACUGGUCAGCAUCGCUUCUGAUUGGCGCUGUCUAGCCAUGUCAGAUCCUAUCUACUCAAUUCAACAUUGCUUUUCUGUAAUAUGUCACUAAUAUAUCGUUCAUAUCUAUUCUUGGCUUAUAAAUAAGCUGAAAUAGAAAAAGAACAAUUUCAGUAUUUGAAAAUGAUAAAAUUGAUGAUUUGUCGUGGAAGAAAAAGCCAGUUCAUUUUUUCAUGUCAAGUCGCAACUAAUCUAUGUUGCGGUUUGGCAGUUACCUUUUGCGGUUUCAUCUUGCAUCUGAUUGGUCACAAAACAAUAAACAUUCCAGAAAUUUUCUCUGGUGUUCACAGUUUUACAGGAAAAGCUGUAAGACAACAAGGCAUUCGGUGUUUUUGUGUCGCAGUGUUCAUUGUUCACAGCAGACUAAAUUAUUUUAGGCAGGAAAUGUUAAAAAAUAUAUAUAUAUGUCUCAUAACUGGUACUGUCCCAAGUUCAUUUACAUGACUGAACAACAGCAUCUGCUGUGAUCUGUUGAACAACAUGAAAUGGGGACCUACACUUCAGGUGCAGGAAAGAAGAGGUGGGGAAAGUUGUGCCCAUGGGGUGCAAUGGGCGCUGGCCAGAACUCAGUGUUCCUCGAGUACAACACUAGAUUACGUUACAUAUAUAUUGCAGCCACUUCAAGAAACAAAACUGUUCAUUACUUUCUUUAACUCAGCUUUAAAUGUAACAGUAACAUCGGAUAAAUUGAUACACAAAGGAUGCAAGGAAAGGUGCUUUACAACGUGUUCUUAUGUGUUUAUAGUUUUAGUAAUUUUGUGUUCCCAGUUUUGUUAAUCCAGCGUUUAGGAUUUUUUAUGCGUUAGUAAUUUUGUGUUGUGGGUUUUAGUAGUUUAAGUACAUGUAUUCUGGUAUUUCCCCGUUCCAGGUUACAGUCGAGCAAAUCCUUUAAAGGUGGAUUUCGACGCGAUGCGAACUUAAAUGGUUACUUUUAGCAGCUCAGACAGCAUGUUUUUUUUUUUAAAUAGAUGUUUUGGUUUUUGAAAGAAGUGGAGAAAUAGACCAAAAAAAAUCAAGCUGAUUGCUUUUGCUGUCUCUUACCAGAUAGAAAACAGAGAAGUAAGAAUAAAGUCUAUGUACUGAGACUUAUGAGGAAAGAAGCUCACUUUCAAACAUCAGAUCCCAUACAAGAGAAGCAACCAUAAAAGUAUGUGUUGAGACUUGAGAGGAGAAAGAAUCACAAUGGAGCAUUGGAUUCCAUAUUAAAUACAAAACGGAGAAGAAACAGUAAAAGCUAUUUGCCGAGACUCAAGAAGAAAAAGAAUCAAAUUAAGACUUUGGAUCCCUUAUUAGGCUGCCGUCUCAAGUGAACGUUCAGCGACAUUGACAUGGACAAAGUAAAGGAAAGCAAAAAACUUCGUUUAGAUGUUUCUUCAGUGGAUCACGUUUUAAAUGUAAGGUAGAUUUACAAGACAAAGUUUGAGUUUCUUGCGACAAGAUUGUUAGGGCGGAGCUCGUAUUAGUGAUUUCACAGCACAAAAUUUAAGAGUCAAAAGAAGACAUUGGAAUUAUUGUCAGAUUAGUGUCUUGUAUCUUGCCAGUUUUCGAGGAAGCAGUGAAUUGUAUUUCACGUUUGUAGAUUUAAAAUUAAGGUAGAAUGUUAGCUUUACCUGGAUUAGUUUUUCGCAGUCCGAAUUUUCAGCCUUGAAGUCUCGUCAUUAAACUCGUCGAAAUUACUGUCUAAUUGUCUGGUAUCUAUUUCACAAAUUUACUCACAUCUUUCUAUUUUCCGAGGACGCAUUAAAUUGAUGAAAAGGUUGCGCUUUUGAAAGGGCCAAGAAAAAAUAUCGAAAAAAAACUAAGUCUUUUAGUGAAAAAAAAUUGUCCUUAGAAAAAAAAGUCUGCAAUUUUACAUGGGGUCUGGUUUUGAGUCAAAAAUGUACCGAGUCUUUUGGCGUAAAAAAUCUUGCAGUAUGUAGGAUUUUUUUCCAUCAAAAGUCAAAGUAUACGCUUGAUUUCUGGCUAGACUCUGUUCAA
This 2344-nucleotide long non-coding RNA is filed under the name Orbicella faveolata. RNAcentral's name for it is "uncharacterized LOC110043254". The record is from RNAcentral. Lineage: Eukaryota; Metazoa; Cnidaria; Anthozoa; Scleractinia; Merulinidae.